This is a non-coding RNA of Trichonephila clavipes, 72 nucleotides long. Lineage: Eukaryota; Metazoa; Arthropoda; Arachnida; Araneae; Nephilidae. The record is from the annotation of a GenBank genome assembly.
GCCAUCAUUGUUCAGUGGCAGAGCACUGGUCUUAUAAACUAGGAUUCGUGAGUUCGAUCUUCUCUGGUGGCU